Molecule: transfer RNA, 63 nt
Filed under: Heterocephalus glaber (naked mole-rat)
Lineage: Eukaryota; Metazoa; Chordata; Mammalia; Rodentia; Bathyergidae
Rfam family: tRNA
About the family: Transfer RNA (tRNA) molecules are approximately 80 nucleotides in length. Their secondary structure includes four short double-helical elements and three loops (D, anti-codon, and T loops).
Source: Rfam by way of RNAcentral
GAGGGUGUAGCUUAGUGGUAGAGCAUGCACCUAGCAUGUGUAAAGUCCUGGGUUUCAUCUUCG